UUUGUUUUUGUAACACAACUUACUAAAUUUGAAGUUUUUUUUUUAAUUUUGUAAUUGUGAUACUAAAAAGGUUAUUAUAAAAAUAUUUAACCUUUAAGUUUAAUUCAAAACGAUAAUAUGGAUGGGGCCAUCUAGACCAGGAGCGCGCGCGGCGCUGUUUCGGUUGAUAAUUCAGUUUGCCUUUUUACUUGUCUGUUGCGUUGACCGUUGACAGUUGACAGUUAUGACACCGCAGCAGCAACUAACAAUUUUCAGUGCAUUACACGUUAUUCUACGGUGCAUCAUAGGUGUUUAAUCGUUGUUAAUAGAUUGCUUAUACCAACAUUACCCAGAUGGAUUACUUUGAAUCGGUCAGAUCAAACAUUGGACAGGAAAGCUUCAACCUCGUUCAGUUUCUAAAGAAUAGGUCUCCGCAUACACCAGUCAGCUGUAACAUGCACGAGUUGCACGUGGAUUCAUUAAGAAAUUGUGUUUUAUACAACAUUAUGCAACAGGGGUUGUACAUAUGUCCCGAGACAAGUAGGGACAUCAUUUCCUUUUUAGAGGAUGAUUUUAGCAAUUCUGUAAAAAAAAUAUACCUACAAGUUUUGGUUCAUUAUACCAAAUUAAACGUUCAUCAAGUGUACGAAACCUAUUCAAGUAAUUUUGAUAAAAGGCCAAGUGGUACUAAGACGAACAUUGAUAAUUACUUUGAUUCUCUGAUUAAAGAGUUUGUAUUAAAGGCACAGCAAGAAGAAGCAUAUAACGUGAUAAAAGUCACCUCUGAAGAGGAAAUACAAGUGGUUCGUACUGCAUUGUUGAGUCCCUCUAUACGGUCUGGUUUUCAAACUUGUUUGAAUGACAUUAUGGGAUUCUCCUGCACUGCUGAAUGGAUCAAAGUUAAAAUUGAGAAGAUGCAAAUUUACACCCUUGAUAAUUUUAAACCACUGGCAGGUUUACGUGGGGCAUGUCUUAUAGAUGGUAUUCUAAUAUGCAAAGGUCAAUUGGCUGAAGUCCCAGGCACAAAAAACUUUGAAGCUGAUGCAGUAACACUCGCAGCACAUGAGUGUGCCCAUUAUUUGGGGCGAAUGAUGGAUGGAAAUUUUAACUGGUCAACUCCAUCCGGAAAUAUUGCUGAAAGGCAACAAGACCUUGUAUUUCCAAGUAUAAACUUAGAAGCUGGAAGAACAAUGGAGCUGAUAAUUUUUGACAAGAUACAACCAGAUUGGCGCCAUUCAUCUGAAAAUUCCGCGAUACAGUUUUUAGAGAGACUAAAAGUUGUUGAAACGUGCCCAAUUCUCAGAGCAGAAGAACAUAACACACUUAAUUUAAAAAGUCGUAUUUGUUCGAUCGUAUCGUUUGGUAUUGAUAUUGAAAAUCAAUUUAUUGAUUUUUAUUAAGACUGAAGAACAUAUAAUUUAUUACGUAAAAUGUGUAAAAAGUCAGGGAAUUUUAUUAUUUUCUUUCAGGAAUUCUGUUUAGGAAAAUUUUGUAGUUUUAUUGGUCUUGGUAUUAUUUGGUCUAAUUAGUUUAUCGGGUGGUGUAAAACAAACAAAAUUAUUUCAUGCCAACUUUUCGUCAAGGGUGUAAAAUACAAAAUUAAUUUAUAAAUAUAAAAGAGGUGACAUAAAUUUACUUAUUAAAAAACAGUGUUGCUGCAAUGUUUGAACUUACCUAGAAAUGUUAUGUAUUUAAAGUUAAUAAAUGAAAUUAUUGAUAUUGUAAACAUUGGAGAGUAGUAUGUUGAUGGAGAGGUGAACCUAAUGUUUGUUAUAGUGUUGUAAAGUAGCAUGCUAUUUAUUUUAUGCUGAUAUAUAUCAAGAUAAAUAUUAUGAUACUUAUCUUUCAGUUUUUGUUAAAAAAAAGUCACAAAUUGCUAAUUUUUUAUUUUUCUGCAAUUGUCCCUUUAAUUUAAUACCAAAUACAUAGUAUAAAAUUAUAAAAUUACUAAAAAAUAGAUCAAUAUUAAUAUAUUACUUAUUUUAGUUAUUUUACUGAACACCUAGACUUGUUGAUAAUUGAAAUCUGGAUGGUGGAUCGUAUGAUGGAUGCAAAUAAUUAAGAAAUUUUUGGAAAUAUUUGUUUUCCACCAAUGACAACGGUGAACAGGUAUCAAACAUUGCUCGUGCUAGUAAAAUAUUAGCUUUGAUGUUUUCCUCUUUUGUCAUCUUGUCUAAAAAAUUUCCAAUGCUUAUUGCUGAUGCUGAUGCAUACUAGUACUACUAGCAAUGCUAGAUGUUACCUGUACCUGUCAAUAUUUAUAAUUAUUAAUACGUUGUAAGUUGACACUGUGAUGAUUCUUACCUUUUUACAGUUUUUUUGUGUAUUUUUCAAAUUUUUUUCAAACAAACUUUUUACUUCGGCAGGUGCUUGACAGUGGUUUUCCAUCCCUAGUGGAUUUGCAAUAAAAGUUUUUUUUACAAAAUAUAAAUAUAUUUAUCCUUUUUGUAUCUUCUAAAAUAUUUCCACACUAUGUGCUUGUGACGUCCCAUGCUUUUAUCACUAUGCACUCUAAUGUAUGUGUUCUAAAUUAUUGCAUCAACAAAAGCCGAUUAAUUAAGAUGGAAAAAACUGAUAAACUUUCAAAAAUAUAUUUUAUAUUUGUUUCCUUAUUUUCCCUUUGACAGAUUAGUUUAGUAAACGUAUCAUGUAUCAGCAUCAUAAGUAUCAGACUCACAUCACUAGUUUGUUAUAAAUUUGUAUUUACAAAUUAUACAUUUUUAUGCCUUUGUUUAUUUUUAACUUUCCCGAUAGGGAAGUUAAUACUUAUAUCAAUUAUAUCGCAUUUAUAUCGUUUUGCAUUAAACUUUAUUAUAAAAAUA
Tribolium castaneum (red flour beetle) is the source of this 2801-nucleotide long non-coding RNA. RefSeq lists it as uncharacterized. Lineage: Eukaryota; Metazoa; Arthropoda; Insecta; Coleoptera; Tenebrionidae. The record is from RefSeq and is a predicted model, not a curated record. The transcript has 2 exons.